Molecule: long non-coding RNA, 372 nt
Organism: Hippocampus zosterae (dwarf seahorse)
Lineage: Eukaryota; Metazoa; Chordata; Actinopteri; Syngnathiformes; Syngnathidae
Exons: 2
Source: RefSeq, a predicted model, not a curated record
UGUGGAUCGACGGGCUCCUUCACUUCGCAGUUGGCGUCGCCGUUCUCCUGGAUGGCCUCCACAGCUGACAGAGAACCAAGACCACAAAUUCAAUUGAAGCUCUUUCAUCAGAAGUUUACGGCCGCAUCGGGUGGCAAAAUGGAUCGAACCGACAACCUCAAAUCACCCAAUACGAAUCCGAUAAAUCGACAUACCAAGCCCUUGAUGAGGUCCUCCAGCUCCUUCUGCGCGUCGCGAACGGCCUCCUCUGUGCCGAUGACCGUGAUGAGCUCCUGGUCUUUGUCCUCGGCAGUGGGGAAGAUGAUCCUCGCACCGGUGCUGUCACGCACCUUGCGGAUGUUGCCGCCGCCUUUGCCGAUGAGGAACUUGUGG